This is a long non-coding RNA of Stegodyphus dumicola, 958 nucleotides long. NCBI's taxonomy places the organism in Eukaryota, Metazoa, Arthropoda, Arachnida, Araneae, Eresidae. The record is from RefSeq and is a predicted model, not a curated record.
AAAGGGUACACUGAUAAGAAUCUUUGAUACAUCUUCUGGGAAUUUGUUGAAUGAAUUAAGAAGAGGAGCUAACCAAGCAAAUAUAUACUGCAUAAAUUUCAACUUUGAUUCUUCUCUCAUCUGUGUAUCAAGUGAUCAUGGAACAGUUCAUAUUUUUGCUGUAGAAGAUAGUAAGAGGAACAAACAGUCAAGCUUAGCAUCUGCAUCAUUUUUGCCCAAAUAUUUUAGCUCUGUUUGGAGUUUUUCACGUUUCCAAGUGCCUGGAGGGUCACACUGUAUUUGUGCGUUUGGAACUGAGCCUAACUCUGUUAUAGGUAUUAAACUUAUUCUUUUUCACAUAUUUUGUAAAUAUAAAAGAAUCAUAUUUGAUAAGCUUUAAAUUGCUAUUGCCAUGACUAAUUGGACCAAAUUAAUUAAUAUUUCACAAAUAAAUCUGUCUGUAAUUAAUGUGUGGUUGUCCACCUAAUUGCUUUCAUUUUAGUUAAGUAUUCAUGGCAAAAUUCACAUUCUUUUCCUGCUAAAUUAUUAACAAUAUUUUAAAAUGCAAUUGUUUAGUUUGAUGUAUUUUUGCUUAAAAUCAUCAAUGAAAACAUAUUAUCCAGUUAUAUGUAUAUACAGUAGAACCCUGCUAUAAUGAACCUUUCAGGCGUAUCCAGUUUUCUCUACAUGUAAUAUCGAGUUUUAACUAAUGUUUCCUGCCACCGCAAAUAUCAUCUGCACAGACAGUUCACAUUGGCGUGUUUAAUCAUAUUUUGUUAAACAAUUUUUGGCAUUUGAAAGAGAGAGACUUGCUUUAAAAUACUGUGUUGUGAAGUUUGUAAAAAAAUAUCUUUAUCAUUAAGUACAAGGUGUCUGAAAUGGAAAUAUUGCGCUACCAGAUUAGAACCGUCAUUUACCUCCGGUUCUGUAAAAAAAAGUCAGCUACAGAAUGUCAUCAAAUCAUGUGUGCAGCUUUAGG